Molecule: RNA transcript, 1613 nt
Organism: Poecile atricapillus (Black-capped chickadee)
Lineage: Eukaryota; Metazoa; Chordata; Aves; Passeriformes; Paridae
Gene: CRYZL1
Gene name: crystallin zeta like 1
Exons: 15
Source: RefSeq, a predicted model, not a curated record
GGAAGUGAGGGAGUGUCAUGGCAACCGUGCGCGCGUCGCGGCGCUCGGGAGUCCCGCGGAGCCGGAGCCCCUGAGGGCCGGCCCGGGGCUGUCGGAACCUCUCGGUGCGGGCCGGGUUCGCUCGGAGCCCCUGAGGGCCGGCCCGGGGCUGUCGGAACCUCUCGGUGCGGGCCGGGUUCGCUCGGAGCCCCUGAGGGCCGGCCCGGGGCUGUCGGAACCUCUCGGUUCCUGUUCGUUGAGGACGACGCGGACCGAGGCGGGAGAGGAGACCAGAAACCCGGGCGGUGAUUUUUGGUGAAGUCACGAGUCGCUAUGAAGGCCCUGUACGGUCAGCAGAAUUCUCCUGGAGAGGAAAUGACAUUUGUGUUCCAAGAAAGAGAGAACCUGCCUCCCACCAGAGACCACGAUGUGAAGGUGCAGGUCAGAGCCUGUGCUCUGAGCUGGGUGGACACAAAGCUCCUGUCAGAAAUUAAACUGAAGAAGGAACUUGUGCCUGUUGGGCGAGAAAUUUCGGGAGUUGUGCUGGAAGUUGGAAGCAAGGUGACCUUUUUCCAGCCAGAUGAUGAAGUGGUGGGAAUUUUGCCCCUGGAUUCUGAGGAGUCUGGUGUUUGUGAAGUUAUCCUGGUUCACGAGCAUUAUUUGGUUCACAAGCCACAGAAGGUGUGUUGGGUGGAGGCCGCCGGGACGGUGCGGGACGGGCUCCGCGCGUACACGGCCCUGCACUACCUGUCCCAGGUGUCCCCUGGCAGCAGUGUCCUCGUCCUGGAUGGAGCAAGUCCAUUCGGUACCAUCGCAAUUCAGCUGGCCCAGCACAGAGGGGCCAGAGUCAUCUCCACUGCCCACAGCCUGGAGGACAAGCAGUACCUGGAGAGGCUCAGACCUGCUGGGGAAGGAGUCCGGCAGCCUUUGGUGGCCCGAGUGAUCGAUGUGUCCCAUGGGAAGAUUGACGUGGCCGAGAGCUGCCUGGAGGAGACGGGCGAGCUGGGCGUGGACAUCGUGCUGGAUGCUGGAGUGAGGUUGUACAGUGCUGAAGAUGAGCCAGCUUCCAAAUCCCAGCUGCUGCCUCACAAGCACGACAUCAUCACUCUCCUUGGGGCUGGGGGACGCUGGAUAACGACAGAGAAGAACCUGCAGCUGGAUCCUCCAGACAGCCAUUCCUUGUUCCUUAAGGGAGCCACAGUGUCCUUCCUGAACGAUGAGAUCUGGAACUUGUCCAAUGUGCAGCAGGGGAAAUAUCUCGCCAUCCUGGAAGAUAUCAUGGAGAAAUUAUCAAAUAAUAUUUUCAGGUGAGAGACGUGAAGUUUUUUGUGGCUUUUUAAAUUCAGCAUUAGAAGUAGAAAACUUUUGCCAGCACUAACACUCCUGAGCAGAGCUUCAGGAAAUAAGAAGACUCCCAUAAUGAGGCCUCAGCUGGAUGAACCAAUCCCAUUGUACGAAGCCAAAGUUUCUAUGGAAAUAGUUCAGAAGAAUCAAGCAAGAAAGAGACAAGUCAUCCAGUUCUGACACACAACUUCUGAUUUCUCAGCCUGGGGAAGAUAAAGAACUGUAUUUGUGGAGUAAAUCAGCAUACACUUGCAGGAAGCAAACAGAAUUUAAACAUUCUUUGUACCUCA